Molecule: ribosomal RNA, 812 nt
Filed under: uncultured bacterium
Lineage: Bacteria
Description: bacterial SSU rRNA
Rfam family: Bacterial small subunit ribosomal RNA
Source: RNAcentral
AGAGUUUGAUCMUGGCUCAGAACGAACGCUGGCGGCGUGCUUAACACAUGCAAGUCGAACGCGAAAGGGACUUCGGUCCCGAGUAGAGUGGCGCACGGGUGAGUAACGCGUAAGUAAUCUACCCCUGUAUUCGGAAUACCCCACCGAAAGGUGAGCUAAUACCGGAUACGUUUAUCUUGAUGCGAAUGAUGAUAAAGAAAGGUGGCCUCUUCUUGAAAGCUACUGUACAGGGACGAGCUUGCGUACCAUUAGCUAGUUGGUAGGGUAAUGGCCUACCAAGGCGACGAUGGUUAGCGGGUCYGAGAGGAUGAUCCGCCACACUGGAACUGGAACACGGACCAGACUCCUACGGGAGGCAGCAGUGAGGAAUAUUGCGCAAUGGGGGMAACCCUGACGCAGCGACGCCGCGUGGAUGAUGAAGGCCCUUGGGUCGUAAAAUCCUGUCAGAUGGAAAGAAAUGCCACAGGGCUAAUAUCUUUGUGGUUUGACGGUACCAUCARAGGAAGCACCGGCUAACUCCGUGCCAGCAGCCGCGGUAAUACGGAGGGUGCAAGCGUUGUUCGGAAUUACUGGGCGUAAAGCGCGCGUAGGCGGUUUGCUCAGUCAGAUGUGAAAGCCCUCGGCUUAACCGGGGACGUGCAUUUGAAACUGGCAGACUUGAGUAUUGGAGGGGGUGGUGGAAUUCCCGGUGUAGAGGUGAAAUUCGUAGAUAUCGGGAGGAAUACCGGUGGCGAAGGCGACCACCUGGCCAAAUACUGACGCUGAGGUGCGAAAGCGUGGGGAGCARACAGGAUUAGAUACCCUGGUAGUCC